RNAcentral lists this ribosomal RNA (564 nucleotides) under Debaryomyces hansenii. RNAcentral's name for it is "partial large subunit ribosomal RNA". It matches the Rfam family "Eukaryotic large subunit ribosomal RNA", at positions 89 to 664 of the family's 3401-position model. Lineage: Eukaryota; Fungi; Ascomycota; Pichiomycetes; Serinales; Debaryomycetaceae. The record is from RNAcentral.
GCGAGUGAAGCGGCAACAGCUCAAAUUUGAAAGCUAGCCUUCGGGUUCGCAUUGUAAUUUGUAGAGGAUGAUUUGGGGAAGCCGCCUGUCUAAGUUCCUUGGAACAGGACGUCAUAGAGGGUGAGAAUCCCGUAUGUGACAGGAAAUGGCACCCUAUGUAAAUCUCCUUCGACGAGUCGAGUUGUUUGGGAAUGCAGCUCUAAAUGGGAGGUAAAUUUCUUCUAAAGCUAAAUAUUGGCGAGAGACCGAUAGCGCACAAGUAGAGUGAUCGAAAGAUGAAAAGCACUUUGGAAAGAGAGUUAAAAAGCACGUGAAAUUGUUGAAAGGGAAGCGCUUGCAAUCAGACUUGUUUAAACUGUUCGGCCGGUCUUCUGACCGGUUUACUCAGUUUGGACAGGCCAGCAUCAGUUUCGGCGGCCGGAUAAAGGCUCUGGGAAUGUGGCCUCCACUUCGGUGGAGGUGUUAUAGCCCAGGGUGUAAUACGGCCAGCCGGGACUGAGGUCCGCGCUUCGGCUAGGAUGCUGGCGUAAUGGUUGUAAGCGACCCGUCUUGAAAAAAGGGACC